RNAcentral lists this ribosomal RNA (252 nucleotides) under uncultured bacterium. RNAcentral's name for it is "partial 16S ribosomal RNA". It matches the Rfam family "Bacterial small subunit ribosomal RNA", at positions 524 to 776 of the family's 1533-position model. The record is from RNAcentral.
UACGUAGGGUGCAAGCGUUAAUCGGAAUUACUGGGCGUAAAGGGUGCGCAGGCGGCUCCGCAUGUCGGGCGUGAAAUCCCCGGGCUUAACCUGGGAAUUGCGUCCGAAACUAUGGAGCUGGAGUGUGGCAGAGGGAGGUGGAAUUCCACGUGUAGCGGUGAAAUGCGUAGAGAUGUGGAGGAACACCGAUGGCGAAGGCAGCCUCCUGGGCCAACACUGACGCUCAUGCACGAAAGCGUGGGAGCAAACAGG